UAUGGAAUUCUAAGAACACCGACAUGUAGGGUCCAUGGGUUAGUGGGACACCAUAGUCCAAAAUUUUCACCGAGCGCCAACUCUGCCGCCAAAGCCAAAAACAUUUCUCGCAAAAUGUCCCUUGUAAUCUCAAGCAAUAAACACACCGCUACCCCAUCCAUCAAGGGUAUUUGUGACAAUCUCACUCCACGCCCCAUAUCCCUUGCCCCUUAUCUAUCCCUUCGCUCAGAUCCGCCUCCACCUCUCGCCUUUCCCCUCCACCUCUCACCUUUCACCUCUGCACUAGCACUCGACCCC
This 297-nucleotide long non-coding RNA is filed under the name Setaria viridis. Its description in RNAcentral is "long non-coding RNA (SVIR_LNC011136)". Lineage: Eukaryota; Viridiplantae; Streptophyta; Magnoliopsida; Poales; Poaceae. The record is from RNAcentral.